RNAcentral lists this ribosomal RNA (465 nucleotides) under uncultured bacterium. RNAcentral describes it as "partial 16S ribosomal RNA". It matches the Rfam family "Bacterial small subunit ribosomal RNA", at positions 338 to 795 of the family's 1533-position model. The record is from RNAcentral.
CCUACGGGAGGCAGCAGUAGGGAAUCUUCCACAAUGGGCGAAAGCCUGAUGGAGCAACGCCGCGUGGGUGAAGAAGGUCUUCGGAUCGUAAAACCCUGUUGUUAGAGAAGAAAGUGCGUGAGAGUAACUGUUCACGUUUCGACGGUAUCUAACCAGAAAGCCACGGCUAACUACGUGCCAGCAGCCGCGGUAAUACGUAGGUGGCAAGCGUUAUCCGGAUUUAUUGGGCGUAAAGGGAACGCAGGCGGUCUUUUAAGUCUGAUGUGAAAGCCUUCGGCUUAACCGGAGUAGUGCAUUGGAAACUGGGAGACUUGAGAGCAGAAGAGGAGAGUGGAACGCCAUGUGUAGCGGUGAAAUGCGUAGAUAUAUGGAAGAACACCAGUGGCGAAAGCGGCUCUCUGAUCUGUAACUGACGCUGAGGUUCGAAAGCGUGGGUAGCAAACAGGAUUAGAUACCCGAGUAGUC